RNAcentral lists this long non-coding RNA (684 nucleotides) under Cottoperca gobio. Its description in RNAcentral is "lncRNA (ENSCGOG00000006902.1)". Lineage: Eukaryota; Metazoa; Chordata; Actinopteri; Perciformes; Bovichtidae. The record is from RNAcentral.
CCUUGAUUCUAUAUGCUUUCUCAGUCUCUUUACUGUGUCCUCCCUCCCUGCGUCUGUGCAUGGUCGUGCACUUGUUUGUGUCUCCUCUCUGUGUUCGUGUCCUCUGCAGCUCCUGCAGCACGGCAGCAAGUACGGCAGUGCUGUGGGAGCCUGACCUGCUCCAGGUGAUGGAGGCGGUGGAGAGGAGGGGGGUGAAGGAGCUCAGCGAGGAGGCAGCACAGGCCCUCAGGAUGCUCCUCACACAGAUCCUGAUCAGUGUCCUGCAGCCGCCGCUCACAGAGCAGCACGAGCAGAGAGUGAGGGGGAUGAUGGAGUCUCUUGGCCUUCACACGCCAGCCGAGAGCCGCAGCUCCAGUCUGCAAAGCAACGUCUUGCUCGUUGGAGAUGUGUCCAUCUGUCUGUCUGACUUUACAGUCAAAACAGGCUGAUGUCCCGGCAAACUGAUAUUAUUACGGCUAAUAUCAUCACACCAUCAAUUUGUUUCAUUGUUUAUUUAUUGCUACAUGUCCUGUAGACAUAGUGUGUGUUCCGUUCUGCUCUUAAAGCAGCAGAUGCUCCUGCUUACAUUUCAGUGUUACAGCAAAAUAAUUGACUUGUGUAUUUUAAAAAGGAGUUUAUAUUUUCAAGCAGUGUUAAAGAAAAGUUGGUUAAACGAUGAUCUUUAGAUAUUAAAAGAUCAAAAAC